RNAcentral lists this ribosomal RNA (484 nucleotides) under uncultured bacterium. RNAcentral's name for it is "partial 16S ribosomal RNA". It matches the Rfam family "Bacterial small subunit ribosomal RNA", at positions 30 to 507 of the family's 1533-position model. The record is from RNAcentral.
AUUGAACGCUGGCGGCAGGCCUAACACAUGCAAGUCGAGCGGAUGAAGGGAGCUUGCUCCUGGAUUCAGCGGCGGACGGGUGAGUAAUGCCUAGGAAUCUGCCUGGUAGUGGGGGAUAACGUCCGGAAACGGGCGCUAAUACCGCAUACGACCUGAGGGAGAAAGUGGGGGGUCUUCGGACCUCACGCUAUCAGAUGAGCCUAGGUCGGAUUAGCUAGUUGGUGGGGUAAAGGCCUACCAAGGCGACGAUCCGUAACUGGUCUGCGAGGAUGAUCAGUCACCCUGGAACUGAGACACGGUCCAGACUCCUACGGGAGGCAGCAGUGGGGAAUAUUGGACAAAGGGCGAAAGCCUGAUCCAGCCAUGCCGCGUGUGUGAAGAAGGUCUUCGGAUUGUAAAGCACUUUAAGUUGGGAGGAAGGACAGUAAGUUAAUACCUUGCUGUUUUGACGUUACCAACAGAAUAAGCACCGGCUAACUUCGUG